RNAcentral lists this long non-coding RNA (493 nucleotides) under Triticum aestivum (bread wheat). RNAcentral describes it as "long non-coding RNA (TAES_LNC026710)". Lineage: Eukaryota; Viridiplantae; Streptophyta; Magnoliopsida; Poales; Poaceae. The record is from RNAcentral.
UGAUAAUUCAGGAGUCAACCAUAUUACAAGAUCAGAUAAUCAUACUCCAAUUACAAAAAAAAAUCAUCAUAUUCCCAUUCUUUGUUUCUACCUCGCUGAGAGGAGAAAAAGGAAAUCGGCUAUCAUAUAAUAUCGUUAGUAAUAGAACCAUAUAGAUACAGAUCGAAUACUAUGACCAGCAGUGUCACCCCAAGUUAACCAUAGAAACAACUGCAAAUGUAAGAAGAUAUAUAUUCAUCCAAGUUACACAAUUUCAGAAGGCAGGUACACUAGAAAGAAAAGAAUAAAGAUAACAAGUAAAAACAAAUAAGAAAACAUGUAUAAAGGUGACGGAGCAUCAACAAGUUUGCAUGGUUUUCUAAGAAGAGCAGCAGCUGGCCUUCUGCUCGACAGGUUGCCCGCGGAUCUGUACAGUAGCUGGGCGAGCGUUGUUUGCGGCUGGCUGGCUCGCCAUCCUGGAAACAUAGGCCAUUGUUUUCAGUAAGUUCUUCAU